Molecule: ribosomal RNA, 387 nt
Filed under: uncultured bacterium
Lineage: Bacteria
Description: bacterial SSU rRNA
Rfam family: Archaeal small subunit ribosomal RNA
Source: RNAcentral
GCGCGAAAACUUUACAAUGCUGGCAACAGCGAUAAGGGAACCUCGAGUGCCAGGUUACAAGUCUGGCUGUCGAGAUGCCUAAAAAGCAUUUCAUAGCAAGGGCCGGGCAAGACCGGUGCCAGCCGCCGCGGUAACACCGGCGGCUCGAGUGGUAACCGUUAUUAUUGGGUCUAAAGGGUCUGUAGCCGGCCGGAUAAGUCUCUUGGGAAAUCUGGCAGCUCAACUGUCAGGCUUUCAGGAGAUACUGUCUGGCUCAAGGCCGGGAGAGGUGAGAGGUACUUCAGGGGUAGGGGUGAAAUCUUGUAAUCCUUGAAGGACCACCAGUGGCGAAGGCGUCUCACCAGAACGGACCUGACGGCAAGGGACGAAAGCUAGGGGCACGAACCG